GAUGAACGCUGGCGGCGUGCCUAAUACAUGCAAGUCGAGCGGACGGACGAGGAGCUUGCUUCUCUGAUGUUAGCGGAGGGCGGGAGAGUAACGCGUGUAUACCCUACCUAUAAGACUGGUAAAACUUCGGAACACCGGAGCUAAUACGAGAUAAUCUUUUGAACCGCGUGGUUCGAUAGUGAGAGACGGUCUUGCUGUCACUUCUAGAUGGAUCCCGGCUUCAUUAGCUAGUUGGUAAGUUAACGGCUUACUAAGGCAACGAGGCAUAGCCGAACUGAUAGGGGGAUAGGCCACACGGGAGCUGAGACGCGCUCCAGAGUCCUAAGGGAGGCAGCAGUCGGGAAUCUGCGGCAGUGGGGGAAAGUAUGACGGAGUAGCGCCGCGUGAGAUACAAAGGCCUCCCGAGCGUAAAGCUCUGUUAUUAGGGAAGAACAUAUGUGGAAGGAACCGUGCAGAGCGUGACGGUACCGAAUCAGAAAGCCACGGCUAACUACGUG
RNAcentral lists this ribosomal RNA (497 nucleotides) under uncultured bacterium. RNAcentral's name for it is "partial 16S ribosomal RNA". It matches the Rfam family "Bacterial small subunit ribosomal RNA", at positions 28 to 507 of the family's 1533-position model. The record is from RNAcentral.